Oryza sativa Japonica Group (Japanese rice) is the source of this 207-nucleotide microRNA precursor. It matches the Rfam family "MIR812 microRNA precursor family". The record is from Rfam. Lineage: Eukaryota; Viridiplantae; Streptophyta; Magnoliopsida; Poales; Poaceae.
AAAAAGACAAACCUAGGGUUUCCGUGUCCAACGUUUGACUGUCCGUCUUAUAUGAAUUUUUUUUAUAAUUAGUCUUUUCGUUGUUGUUAGAUGAUAAAACAUGAUUAAUACUUUAUGCGUGACUUGUCUUUUUAAUUUUUUUCAUAUUUUUUUCAAAUAAGACAGACGGUCAAACGUUGGAUACAGAAACCCAGGGUUUGUCUUUUU